AGAUUGUUGGUGAUAACCAAAAUCAUAAACAAAUUCCUCUUUGACGGGCCAAUAUCAUUAUUGGCCUUCUUUUU
RNAcentral lists this small RNA (74 nucleotides) under Enterobacter sp. Sphag71. RNAcentral describes it as "sroB RNA". It matches the Rfam family "sroB RNA". Lineage: Bacteria; Pseudomonadati; Pseudomonadota; Gammaproteobacteria; Enterobacterales; Enterobacteriaceae. RNAcentral also lists the same sequence under 1 other name. The record is from RNAcentral.